RNAcentral lists this non-coding RNA (184 nucleotides) under Enterococcus pallens ATCC BAA-351. RNAcentral's name for it is "Listeria sRNA rliD". It matches the Rfam family "Listeria sRNA rliD", at positions 27 to 210 of the family's 327-position model. Lineage: Bacteria; Bacillati; Bacillota; Bacilli; Lactobacillales; Enterococcaceae. The record is from Rfam by way of RNAcentral.
CUUCGCUUCUUUUGAAGCAACUGCUGCACUUAAUACAACCGUAUCACCAUAACGAACCAAGACUGCACCAUUGGCUUGCUUCGCUAAUUGACCAACUUCGACUUGCAAGGGACGUCCGCCCCAAGUGGUUUUGAAUACUUGUUUUUCUGACAUAAUUUCUCCUUUUUCCCUCUGACAGGUGCGA